Molecule: RNA transcript, 4036 nt
Organism: Micropterus salmoides (largemouth bass)
Lineage: Eukaryota; Metazoa; Chordata; Actinopteri; Centrarchiformes; Centrarchidae
Exons: 7
Source: RefSeq, a predicted model, not a curated record
AAUGGCACUCCUUGGUCAUUAACAUAUUUACAAAGCUUUCCUUCUCUGUUCAGUAGUGAGUUAACCUGUGAUUUUCCAGUAGAAUAGAGUAACUCUUUCGAAGGCAGCAGCUUCACUGUCUGAUUUUACAACAUCAUCGGAGAAAUCUAAUGAGUGGUAGUUCAGAGGGAAGGGCUUCAUUUCUUUUCUCUCGGUUUCACUUACUCCUUACUUACAAUGGUGAGUAGCUGCUUUUAUGUGGUUUCCUUUGCCAAUAUUUUAAAUUAUGGUUCAUUCUACUGGUGUGGUGUCAAUGAAAUGUGUAAUUAUUGUAAUGUGUUUUACUAUAACUGCUGCACCACCAAACUGCAGAGCAGUGUUUUCCCACCAAGCUAUUAUUAUUAUGCCAUGUAUUGAAUACAUUUACUCAAUAUAGUUUGGGGGGGGGGCGUCGGACGACUUGUGGCGACUAGGUGGCAACUUAUUGAUGAAGAUGUAGCCUACAUUGGCAAAGGAGUAGCCUAUCCACACAUAGAUGUCACACAACAGUCUCCUUCCGUAGGUUAUCCCGCCAUAGCCAAAUAUUCAGGAGGCUUCGUCGUGACUCCAGUUUGUCCCCUGCUUGUCGACAUGUUGGUAGCAAAGCGCUAAACGAUUUUUAACUAAUAAAAUGACACAAAGCCUACAGUGGUAGCCUAGGCUUCCUGCUGUCACACAGUUUCAAACCUUAAAAAAAGGUCUGCUGCAGAGAUCACUUGGCAGCGAUCCGAGACCACACCUUCGAGGCGGACCAGAGAGCGGCUGUUUACCAACCCAACCGCACCGCAGCAAGGGCGUAAACGCUCCAGGAGUGUCAUAUUUUAACCGAGGACAGGAAGGAGUCCGUUCUUCAGCUGUGGUGACAGAGAGCCCGAAUGGCGGGCGGUCCAGUGAACGUCUGCUUGGCACCAGGGGAUCUACUUCAUCUCCUGCAGUUCAACAGAGACAGAGGUCGAGAUUACCUUGGAUCCGUGUCAGGCUUUGUGUCCAAACAUAAAGGCAAGUCUUUGGUCUUAGAGAGUCCAGCUGGUGCCACACUGACAAUAGGAGACCUGAGUGACACCAUUUACAGAGACAAACGUAAUGAAGUCAAUGGGUGGGGUAAAUUCUACCUUCCUAAAGAAGUAAGCAUGCAGGUUGUAGGUGUAGUGGAGGAGACCUCGUGCCCGUGUGACCAGCUCGUCCUGAUGACCUGUGAGGACAGAAAGCUGUAUGCCUACGAUGGAGAGGAACUGCACGAGGUGGCUUCAAGCCUAAAGCAGCUAGGUGAAAAGAGAAUAGAGUAUCCAGCAUCCACGAGCUAUUACAACGGGGAGGCCUUCAAAGAUAUGACCGAGAAGGACUGGGUCAAAGUGAGGGAGGGUGCUGUGGGGAAGAGUUUGGACCAAGCUCAUCAUAAACUGGUGACAGCACAAAAGUCCAGAUUCCUGCAGAAUCUCAAAAUCAAAUGAUCCAGCAGUUAAUGCUUUUGGGUUUUGUUCUUGUGAUGUUGUUGGUUGUUGAUUAUGUCCAUGUCAAUAUAGAAAUGCACACUUUAUUAAACCACACAGAAAAUGCAUGGUGUUCUGUUAUCAAUAAAGGGAUGUAAUAUAUCUGUUGAUUGAUAUGUAUGAUUAAUAAAAUAAAAAAAGACUCACUGCUUAUUAAAAUAGUAAUACUAUAUAUCUGUUUGCGAUCUCUUUUUGUGAAUUUUAGUGUUUAAAAAACACUGUGUGAACAUUAUUAUUAUAUUAUUCCUCUGUAACAGUUUUUUGUGGGUAGUACAUUGAAUUGUUAAAAAAAAAGGUUUCUGUUGUGUUCAGGGAGGCUUAAAUAAACACUGACAAAUGAGGAAGCUGGUUUUAGACUGACUUCAGUGACUAGCUUGAAUAACUGAGAGGAGUUCAUGUGGAAAAGAUACACAGACACCACAAAUAAAAAUACAUAUUUGGAUCCACUAACUUGAAGAAAUGUGAGGAAGAAAUGUGGAACAUAAUUUGUCACAUCUACAUAUUUAAUUCAUAAUCGUGCAGAAAACAUGGUUUUCAAUGGAGCUUUAACAUCAGCCACCACGCUGAGUUGCAAUCAUGAACAUGUACAGUAAAGCAUAAAUAAAACAGUUGUUACUGUGUGAGCAUUGCUGCUUUCAGUUCAGUGGAUGCUGCUGUUUAUUGGCAGCACUUUUAGCACCACAUCCUGUCACGUACAGAAGAGAAAUAUCCUUAUCUAGCCAUCUGACAAUUAUUUUUUCAAUGGCACUCCUUGGUCAUUAACAUAUUUACAAAGCUUUCCUUCUCUGUUCAGUAGUGAGUUAACCUGUGAUUUUCCAGUAGAACAGAAUAACUCUUUCGAAGGCAGCAGCUUCACUGAUUGAUUCUACAUGACAUCAUCGGAGAAAUCUAAGGAGGGGUAGUUCAGAGGGAAGGGCUUCAUUUCUUUUCUUUCGGUUUCACUCCUUACUGACAAUGGUGAGUAGCUGCUUUUAUGUGGUUUCCUUUGCCAAUAUUACAUUAUGGUUCAUUCUACAUUGCUAAUUUAAUGUCUGGUGUCAGUGAAAUGUGUAAUGUGAAAUGUGUUUUACUAUAACUGUCGCAGUGUUUUCCCACCAAGCUAUGAGACUUUUAAAUCAAAUGAAUCCUCCAUGGAAUAUAGUUUAGAGUUUUCCUUUCUAUAAUUGUAUUUCUAUAUUGUAUAUUAUCUGCUAUGUAGCAGAAGGGAGUUACAAACCACAUUUUAUUUUACAACCCUGUUCUAAUGUGACCGUUAAACCUACCUUGUACCUUGUAUCAUUUCCAUUUGCAUCUGGAGGCUGAACGGAGGAUGAUGAGGUGAGUCAGCUGGUUUACUGAACCACAAGUUGUUACUGUUGCUUUCUGCUUUUCAAUUCCCUAAAAACAAUUUGUUUAUUCUUUUAGAGAAGAAGAGUUUCUGAUACAGGAAGACCAUUUCAGAAGGAAUGCUUUCUUGAUUAUCAGUGAAAUGGUGAAAAUGAGUCCAAAGCAUCCUUCAGUGUUAGUGGAUGAGGUUUGUCUGAUGAGGACUGAAAAUUUCUGGUUCUGGACAUAAUGCAUGGAUUGUCCAUCUGAUGGGACAAGAGAAUGAAGACACAAUAAUAGAAGAGCUGCAGAAGCUCAUCCGUCAACUGAAGGAGGAUGAAGCAAAAGAUCUGGUCUCCUCCACCAUCUGUGUCUCCCAGAAAAACAAGGACCCAAAUUCAGACAGGUACUAUGGAGUCUCCAUGUCCACUUCUGGCAGGGAUCCUGGGCGAAUCAUGAUUGCUGCGUCCUGCCUUAGUGCCUGGGACAGUUACGUAGCUGGUGCAGUGAUGACCUACUAUCCAAAGAAGACACAAAAGCCAUAUUUUGAUGGAACCAUUAAACUUCCAGAGCAGGUCAGGUGUCAGGCGUUUAGCUUAAGUGAUCUAAGAGAAAUGCCUCCUUGCAGAUCAUGUGGGAAUUUGUUUGGUUUGACAACAAGUGAAAAUAGGGAGUGGCCCUAUGGCCACUGUGCCGAAGCUGAAAGUGUGAGCAACUUGCUUAAAUAUGAGAAAGAAGUGAGAGAGCAAGCACAGCCAAAAUCUAAAACAGCCACAGAUGAGAACAGGAAAAAGGCUCAAGAGAGUGUCUUGAAAGAGCUUACAAAUCUUCUGAAAAUGCAGAAAUUUACAUGGGAUAAACAUUUCUACACCCCACAAGUUUGAUCUUUGGGGAGUUCUUAUGGUUCAUUAUUAUAUAGUAACCAGAUUGAUCUCAAUGGUUUUGAUUCCUUAUCAGUAAAAACUUCUCUGUAACCCUCUAAUUAAAUCAAAGUUUUUUGUGAUUGUGAAAUUGAUGUGACGACCAGAGCUGUCAAUAAAUCGUGCUUUUAUCAUAACAAAUGAUUAAUGCUCCAGCUACCCACUCCUGUUACAUUAAACAUAUGAAUCACAUGGCAGAAUCACAAAGCCAGAUGUCUGAUAACUGUAAGAAAAAAGCAUGCAGAAAGAUGCAAAUGUUGAUGUAUUGAUCGUGUUAUUAACAAUAAAUAAUGGUGGGGUAAA